UACGAAGGGGGCUAGCGUUGCUCGGAAUUACUGGGCGUAAAGCGCACGUAGGCGGUCUUUUAAGUCGGGGGUGAAAUCCUGGAGCUCAACUCCAGAACUGCCUUCGAUACUGGAAGACUCGAGUCCGGGAGAGGUGAGUGGAACUGCGAGUGUAGAGGUGAAAUUCGUAGAUAUUCGCAAGAACACCAGUGGCGAAGGUGGCCCACUGGCCCGGUACUGACGCUGAGGUGCGAAAGCGUGGGGAGCAAACAGG
RNAcentral lists this ribosomal RNA (253 nucleotides) under uncultured bacterium. RNAcentral describes it as "partial 16S ribosomal RNA". It matches the Rfam family "Bacterial small subunit ribosomal RNA", at positions 524 to 776 of the family's 1533-position model. The record is from RNAcentral.